GUAGCUCUGGGAAGACCUCCGGUCAUUCCCAGGAAGUACCAGGUGUGCUGCAGAAAGCAUGGUGGCCUCAGAGGCCGAAUGACAUAAAUAAAUGCCUGCCGUGACACCCUCGGUGGAGCUCAUGGCCCACAAACAGGUGCAGUCAGGAGUUUGAAAACUUCUGGUCUAAUACAACCUCCCACUGGACAGGCGAGCAAACGGAGGCUCAGAAAGGAUAACUGACUCCCCUCGUGUCCCAAGGCCAGUGAGCGGUGGGUUCCUGGCACCCCUGCGUCCCAGGAGAGACGGUACGAACCGUGGUGAGAGGGCGGUGGGGGAUCCUUCGGGAGGAAAGUUGGGGGUGUGCAGAGGCACUGGGCACGCUGGGUGGAGAAGCAGCUCAGGGUGCUGCGCCAGCUCCCCCAGGGGCGGGAUUGCAGUGACACAGCCGCAGGGGUGAAGUCCACCACCUGGGCUCAGACCUAGCCCUGCCACUCACUAGCCGGUGACUUUGGGCGUGUAUGUCACCUGCCAGAGGCUCAGCACCUUCUGCUGAGCCCAGCCCUGAGCUUGGAGUGAAAUCGUAACGCAGCCGGCUGCCUGACACGCAGUGCCCAGGCACCGACGCGGCCAAUUACCGUUGCUUGUACUUCCAUUUGGAAAUUUCCCUGUUUUUGGCUUUCCCCUUCUUUUCUGAGAGCUCCUUCUUUAGGAGGGCUGGCCCUCUCUGACGACAAGAGCAGAUGCUCCCAGGUGGGCUGGGACACACCCACGCCGCCGGUGGGUCUGGAGGAGGCUGGAGGAAGAUUCAAGUUCGCAGCCGAUCCUUUUCCUCAUCAGUCGUCAGCUCCUCGGAGCCUCCGAGGGACGUCUGGAGGGGCCGCUGAUUGUGGAAACAGCUGGAAGGGAAACGCGAGGGCAGAUGUGCGAGGGCAGAUGUGGCCACAACGGGAGGCCUGCAGCCGUCAGCGCUUCCCACAGCGUACUGGGAAAGCUGCCACGCUUGGAGCCCACCAGACCCAGGUUCAAAUCCCAGUCUACCAGAAUUCCUGUGGCAUAACGUAGCCUUGACGAGUAAGACCUGGCAUCUAGACCUGUCUUCACUAUGUAUAAGCUGUGUGACUCCAGGAACAUGUUUAACCUCUCUGAGUCUUAGUUUCAUCGCCUUUGAAAGAAGAGGGGAAGAUGAGGAAACAGAGGUUCCAAGUGGUGAUGUGAUUCUCAGGGUCAUACAGCCAGCAAGUGGCAGAGCUGGGAUUCAGACCCCAGCCCCUCGGCUCCAAAGAGUGGAAAAGGAAGGGAAAGGACGACCACUCAGUGACGGCUAACCAUGGGCCCUUGGAAGAGUAGGAGUGAUUUUUACUUUCUCCCUCACACUCAUCUGUAUUCCUCCCUCCUCCCCCCCAAAAAAAAACUGGGGUGGGAGGAAGCAGGUUGUUAGAUAAAAAGGGAGGUGAAGAAGCAAUUGCCCCUCUCAAGCAGGCAUCCUUGAAGAUGAAACAUUCAGGUCUCGCGCUUCACACCACGAGCUCAGAUUGUGUCCAUUUUUUUUUUUCUGGUUAAAGAAGAGCAGAGUGUCCUGGCAGAGUCUUUGGCUGAUUGCUUAACAAUGGGAGUGUGUGCUCUGGACAUGCACACACAGCCCACGCCGACUGAGACAGGAGGGAGACAGAAACCAGCAGUAGCCAAAACUCUGCUAGAUCGAUGCAGACUGUUACAGGCGCAGCUUUCCAAAAAGCAGAGCUCGGUGAAAUAAAUAUUUUUCCUGUGAGAAGAGGCUUAAGUCGGCGAUCUUAACAACCCCCCAAUUCAUUCCAGAUCCACUCAGAGCGGCUGGCGUCAGUGCGCCCAUCUUGAUGUACUUAGGAUCGCUUGGUAACUGCAGCGAGCCCGGGUGCCUGGCUGCUGUCCCGCUGGCAGAGUGCCUGAGGUGCUGGGCAGGAGGGCCAGAAGGAGUUUGUCCCUGGGGAACGCUCUCCCCACUCCCUCUGAGCUCCCCACAACUUCUUGGGGUCCCCAAUUCUUUUUCCUGUGAAGCCACCACUAUUUAAACUGGAGGCCUGAGGAUGCACGCAACCUCUUCUUGGCAAAAGGCUCCAUUCUCUGUCCUGGAGACAAUCUUCAGCAAGAAUUUAGAGUCGUGGACUUGGGAAAUGUACACAAAUGAAGAAGUCUGGGUUACCUCAUAAACUGGGAGUUUCACUAUCCAGGCAGAGACUCAUUGAUUGAUUAAUUAAUUUGCUUGCUCACUCGAUCAUUGUUAAUCCGCUACCUCCUAAGUGCAAGAUUUGGUACAAGCCUAAUAAAAGA
Lemur catta (Ring-tailed lemur) is the source of this 2289-nucleotide long non-coding RNA. RefSeq lists it as uncharacterized. NCBI's taxonomy places the organism in Eukaryota, Metazoa, Chordata, Mammalia, Primates, Lemuridae. The transcript is spliced from 3 exons. The record is from RefSeq and is a predicted model, not a curated record.